CCCUUGUGUGCAGGAGGGCUGUGUGUAGUUCUGCAUUCCCCUGCAGAAGAUGCAAGUUGAUAUAAGGCUAUCUGUGGGCUGUGGAGCUACAAGCUGGAAGCCAAAAGAGAGGAGAAUCAGAUGUGGAGCACCUAUUAAGUACAGCUAGACAAAUGCAAAUCAGAUAGGGCAAGUGGUGUUUAGCUGUCCAGGAAAAUAGUGAGCAAGACCUAAUGCAUUAUAGAAGAGGAGGAAGCAAUCUGAUGGCUUCUUGGCUAUGCAGAGGCUCACCGCUGCCGCCAUUUUGGCUGCUCACCUCAAUGGAAGAGCACACCUGCCUCCUCAGCACGGCAUGUCAGAGGGAACGCCAGCUUUUCCCCUCUUUCACCAGCAGCUUUUAAAUAAAAAGGAAACCAGAAUGAUGAAACUCUGCUGCAUGGAGGGCAUCUUUGUCACACACGUGGAAGGUCAACACAGUGGGGAGAUAAAGGGAUAUAUGCUGAAGGAACUGUGUAGAUGACAGUGACAGACAAGAAACCAGCAUCCAGUGAUUGAACUGAGCAUGAAAAGGCAACACAGGAGGUUUUGUCAAAGAGCAGAACACCGUGCAGAAAAGGGACUGCUCCUGCCUGCACAAGAACAGCCAGACCUUAGAGGCUUCAUGGCACAAUCCAAGCUGCUGUCAUAGAGUACUUUAACCAUAAAUUAAACUUCAGGAAUGCAGAACAAGGAUCAACUAUAUUUCAAAUUGACCCUAAGUGAGAUACCAAUAUAAGUAUUGUAAUAUAGCUAAUGACCUGCAGAUUCUUCAUAUAACAAGAGAAGCCCACAUAAUUUUGCAUGCUUGCAAAACAGUACCUACCCAUUUUCUUCAUUUGCAUGACAAACUGUAGUACUAAAAUCCUGAUUCAUAUUAAUUCAAUACUAGAGUAUUACUGAUGUAAAACUACUGAUUUAGUAUUAUGAAAUUGAUUAAUAAACUACAGAUAAAUGCCACUCUGGUGGAAAUAUAGACAUUUGUAAA
Gallus gallus (chicken) is the source of this 1003-nucleotide long non-coding RNA. The record is from Ensembl. Lineage: Eukaryota; Metazoa; Chordata; Aves; Galliformes; Phasianidae.